RNAcentral lists this transfer RNA (69 nucleotides) under Urocitellus parryii (Arctic ground squirrel). RNAcentral's name for it is "Spermophilus parryii (Arctic ground squirrel) tRNA". It matches the Rfam family "tRNA". Rfam says of the family: Transfer RNA (tRNA) molecules are approximately 80 nucleotides in length. Their secondary structure includes four short double-helical elements and three loops (D, anti-codon, and T loops). The record is from Rfam by way of RNAcentral. RNAcentral also lists the same sequence under 2 other names. Lineage: Eukaryota; Metazoa; Chordata; Mammalia; Rodentia; Sciuridae.
GGGAUUGUGGCUCAGCGGUAGAGCACUCGCCUAGCACGUGUGGAGCCCUGGGUUUGAUCCUCAGCACCA